GGUCCGGUGGUGUAGUUGGUUAUCACACUCGCUUCACACGGAGCCGCGAGAGGUCAUGAGUUCGAGCCUCGUCCGGAUCA
Molecule: transfer RNA, 80 nt
Filed under: Puccinia triticina
Lineage: Eukaryota; Fungi; Basidiomycota; Pucciniomycetes; Pucciniales; Pucciniaceae
Also listed under: 1 other name
Description: tRNA-Val
Rfam family: tRNA
About the family: Transfer RNA (tRNA) molecules are approximately 80 nucleotides in length.
Source: RNAcentral